CCAGUGCUAACUAGAAAUAACCAAUCAGGGUCAGAAGGCGGGUCUUAGCGCUGUCAGUCAUGCUUAUGCUAGUUAGCAUAGCCACCGAUAACGGUGGAUAGACAGUUGUCCUGGAACUGUAAGUCGUUUCUCCGCCAUUAGCACAUUUAGCAACACAUUCACAAGAUUGAUUGACAGCGCUGAGACACUAUCCCAGGCGCUGACUGGCAGUUUUUGGUGCAUUUCUUCAGAAGGCAAUAGUGGAUCAGGGAGAAGGUGGAGAUUGAUCUUUUCACAGAUUAUCUGUCUCAACAAAGACAGUCUUCACAAAUAACAUUUUUUUUUUGUAAAAGCUGCAUUCUGUAGCUCUAAUAAAAUCUUUUUUGCACCUUGGGGUACACUUUACCUUCCCCUUGACCGCAAAUUAUCCUACUCAGUCAUUUCUUGAAUAAAAGUUUGUAUUUUUUUCCUUAGGCUAUUUAUUUCGCCGUGCUUAUUUUCUGUUGUCAUAUUUUUACCUCGUGUGAAUCUACACGCUCCGACUUGCUUGUUGUUACUUUCACACCUGAAUUUCCCCGCCGAGAGACGAUAAAGGGUUUUCAUAUUCUAUUUUA
Molecule: long non-coding RNA, 593 nt
Organism: Xiphophorus couchianus (Monterrey platyfish)
Lineage: Eukaryota; Metazoa; Chordata; Actinopteri; Cyprinodontiformes; Poeciliidae
Exons: 3
Source: RefSeq, a predicted model, not a curated record